GUAAAAAAAAAACACUGGUUUUUGUGUUUAAGGUUUGAUUGUUUGUUUUAUUUAAAAAAAUUAUAAAAAAAUAAAAAGACAAGUCACACAUAAAAUAUUAAUCAUGUUUUAUCAUCUAACAACAAUAAAAAUACUAAUUAUAACAAUUUUCAUAUAAAACGGACAGUCAAACGUUGGACACGGAAAUUCAGGGUUUAUCUUUUU
Oryza sativa Indica Group (long-grained rice) is the source of this 204-nucleotide microRNA precursor. It matches the Rfam family "MIR812 microRNA precursor family". The record is from Rfam. NCBI's taxonomy places the organism in Eukaryota, Viridiplantae, Streptophyta, Magnoliopsida, Poales, Poaceae.